CAGAGGGUGCAAACGUUGUUCGGAAUUACUGGGCGUAAAGCGCGUGUAGGCGGCCCUGCAAGUCGGAUGUGAAAUCCCACGGCUCAACCGUGGAAGUGCAUUCGAAACUGCAGGGCUAGAGUCCUGGAGAGGAAGGUGGAAUGCUUGGUGUAGAGGUGAAAUUCGUAGAUAUCAAGCGGAACACCGGUGGCGAAGGCGGCCUUCUGGACAGUGACUGACGCUGAGACGCGAAAGCGUGGGGAGCAAACAGGAUUAGAUACCCUGGUAGUCCACGCCGUAAACGAUGAGUGCUAGGUGUCACGGGCUUUGACCCUCGUGGUGCCGAAGCUAACGCGUUAAGCACUCCGCCUGGGGAGUACGGUCGCAAGACUA
RNAcentral lists this ribosomal RNA (372 nucleotides) under uncultured organism. RNAcentral describes it as "bacterial SSU rRNA". It matches the Rfam family "Bacterial small subunit ribosomal RNA", at positions 526 to 896 of the family's 1533-position model. The record is from RNAcentral.